This is a long non-coding RNA of Cucumis sativus (cucumber), 580 nucleotides long. RefSeq lists it as uncharacterized. The transcript has 3 exons. The record is from RefSeq and is a predicted model, not a curated record. Lineage: Eukaryota; Viridiplantae; Streptophyta; Magnoliopsida; Cucurbitales; Cucurbitaceae.
UCUACUCUUUCCCUAUCAAUUUUUCUUUUCUUUCUCUCCAAGUUGGUUUCUAAUUUUGUUCUCUUCUCAAUCUUUGACCCUAGAUCGCGAACGGCAACCAAUCUUCAUCGUGCUUCCGCUGCAAAAAUCCUUGGGUUUCUUCAUUUGAUUGUUAACUUGUGACUGCUAGGUAGCAUUAUUGAUUAUUAAUUGUCUUUAUUUUUUCAAAUGUGCAGCCUUAUUCAUACUAUCUUUUGUUAGAAAAAUGAAAGAAGAGAAGACAUAGAAAUGAGCUUGGUAACUACCAUUCUUGUAGGUGGAUUUGCCAAAAUGGAAAAUGUAGACACUUUUGGGUUGCCAUUUCAAUUGUCUUCUUUGUUGCUGCUACAUUAUUUACUCUACUGAAACUUUGUGAUUUAAUCUUCCCCAGGUUGUAAAGUAUAUUUUGGUCUUAGAUAGCCAGCCAAGCUAAGCUAAGUAGAUGGAAGCAAUUGUUGAAGUUGAAGAUUGUGAAAGCGUUUAAGAUUUCUUAUUUAAGUCUUGUAUUAGGAUCUAGUUUCAUGUAUUAUUAUAGAAUGUAUAUACAAACGCAAUAUUAAGA